UUGAUAUUUCGAAAACGAAUCAAAAUAUCUGAGAUAUUUUGAUUCGUUUUCGAAAUAUCAA
This 61-nucleotide small RNA is filed under the name Paramuricea clavata. The record is from RNAcentral. Lineage: Eukaryota; Metazoa; Cnidaria; Anthozoa; Malacalcyonacea; Plexauridae.